Molecule: long non-coding RNA, 330 nt
Organism: Nicotiana attenuata
Lineage: Eukaryota; Viridiplantae; Streptophyta; Magnoliopsida; Solanales; Solanaceae
Exons: 2
Source: RefSeq, a predicted model, not a curated record
GAUUUGAGAGCAAAUGCACCACUUCAGCCUGAAGAAAGGAAGCCUAAUUCGGAUGCUAAAAGAGUUUCCACUCAAGGUCUCAGGAAUGGAUGAAAUGAUGGCGAAGCUCAAUAUACAAUUGUGAACAUGUCGUCACAGUUGAUAGUUAUUUGAGCCUCCUUUUGCUCGAAAUGUACGUAGAUUCUUAAGAAGUCUUCUAAGCCCUUCUGCUUCACAAGCUACUUCUCUUGUCGAGCUAUAUUGUGCUUCUGCUGAAGAUAAUGGCAUUGUCUUUUGCUUCCUUGAAGACACUUUUCUACUUAAGAAAUCCACUUAAAAGAUUAUAUUGAA